Molecule: ribosomal RNA, 408 nt
Filed under: uncultured bacterium
Lineage: Bacteria
Description: partial 16S ribosomal RNA
Rfam family: Bacterial small subunit ribosomal RNA
Source: RNAcentral
GACGAACGCUGGCGGCGUGCUUAACACAUGCAAGUCGAACGAAGUGGCGAACGGGUGAGUAAUACGUGGGUAACCUGCCCUCCUUUUUGGGAUAAGCCUUGGAAACGGGGUCUAAUACCGAAUAAAGGGGGAUGGGCUCGCGGCCUAUCAGCUUGUUGGUGGGGUGAUGGCCUACCAAGGCGGUGACGGGUAGCCGGCCUGAGAGGGUGACCGGCCACAUUGGGACUGAGAUACGGCCCAGACUCCUACGGGAGGCAGCAGUGGGGGAUAUUGCACAAUGGACGAAAGCCUGAUGCAGCGACGCCGCGUGGGGGAUGAAGGCUUUCGGGUUGGAAACCUGUGUCGCUAGCGUACGGGUAGGUGGAGCAGACGAGCCGGCUAACUACGUGCCAGCAGCCGCGGUAAUUC